This 982-nucleotide long non-coding RNA is filed under the name Phasianus colchicus (ring-necked pheasant). RNAcentral describes it as "lncRNA (ENSPCLG00000006990.1)". Lineage: Eukaryota; Metazoa; Chordata; Aves; Galliformes; Phasianidae. The record is from RNAcentral.
GUGAGCUCGGGGGGCUGGAGGAAAGCUUUCAGCACCCUGGGAAACCACUACUGCAGUAACUGCCUUUCCAGGUGGAUCAGGAGCUUUUCUUUCUACUGUUGUGCGUGGAGCUGUGAUGGAGAUAAGAACUGGGGAAGGAACUGUUUCUAUCCUGACCAAUCUUCUAAAGGGGAUAAAAUAGUAAAAUAGUAACUUCAGUUUCACAGGCUCCCUAUCAUGGACCAACAAUUUGCUUAAAAAAAUCACUUAAACAUUGUGAUCAGCUAAACCCGGUGUUUUUAAAUGAUGUGUUUCACCCCAUAAAACUGGUUGAGAGGAGCUGGGUAGCCUCCUUCUUUGGACCGUUCUUAAGUUUCCAUCCCAAGUGCAGUCACACAAUCACAGUGCCAAUAAUGGUAAUCAUUGAAGUCACAAACAUUCAUUUGACAUUGAUAGAGGGAAGGAAUGUCAGAGCCCCUCAGUGAGCCGCACAAGAGCCACUGGAGGCGAUGCCACCUGAGUCACAGCAGUGCAGGGGUGACCUCGGCCAGCUUGUGCUUUGGGUCCCAAGCAUGUCCUGUGAGCAGGGGGGAGAAGUGGCACCUCAUGGGCUGUGGCAGUGACAGGAAUGCUUCAAGCUGCCGUAACAUGGAAAAAAUUGAGUGCUUUUUUGCUACCUUUUGGAAUUACCAGCCUGGGAAAAGAACUGUACUACUGUUUGAAUUGGGAAUUUCCUGCCUCAGUGGCACCUCUCUCCUUGAAGUUUCAGCACACGUUAAUGUUUGCAAGACCUGCAAGGACUUUGGAUGACCUUGUGCUGCCUAAUCCCGUGCAGGGUAACCUACCUCUCAGGAGCCACCAGGAAAAGUCUGCAGUGGAAGUGUCUGGAUUCUUGCCCCAGAUGCUGGCCAGUACUGAGGCAUUCAGACUGUUAGGCACAGCAGGAGCUGCUGAGAGGAACCCCUGCAACUGUCCAGGAUUUCUUCCCGGAUUACUCCUCUAG